Sphaerodactylus townsendi is the source of this 727-nucleotide long non-coding RNA. RefSeq lists it as uncharacterized. Lineage: Eukaryota; Metazoa; Chordata; Lepidosauria; Squamata; Sphaerodactylidae. The transcript has 3 exons. The record is from RefSeq and is a predicted model, not a curated record.
AGAAGAGGCAGGUAGAACAGAGGUUGUGUCUAUCUGUGAAGAUGGAAGCUCAGUUGGAAGGAGCUGCGUUGGAGGAAGGGCAGCUGGACCAGGGCCAGGAAUGUGCCCAAGAUGCCCUCUCACAUGAGACUCAAAGGUUGCUCGAAAAAACGGCAGACAAAUCUUUGCCCAGUUCCUCAGUCUUGUGAAUCAACAAAGUCUGCGUGUUCUAAGAAGAGUGGGCAAAUGUGUUUUGGGCUCAUGCUUAUUGGGCCGUUUGACUAGGCACUGUAGGAAAUAGAGCCCUGGAUGAGGGAUGCUAGACUGGGGGUGGGCAGGGCUUGAGGUGGGUGUGAUGCCAUGCUGAUGUUGCCUGUGGCCAAAAAUCCAGAUGUGACAUCAGUGGCUCAGCAGAUGCUAUGGACACUCAUUGAGAUGACCCUCUGCUACUGCACGUACUUAAUUCAAGUCUGGUUUUUUUAACCUGGUGUGAUAGUGAUUUUUCAGAUGAUUUUCCUGUUUUUCUUCCACCGACCUGGACUAAAGGGCCCACUCAGUGUCAGCAGCAUCUAUAGUCCCCCAAUGCUCAUGGGUACCUUGUGUUUCUCUUCUGCCUUUCCCACUACUUACCAGAAAGGCUGAGUCUUCUUUCUGAGUGUACAUAGGGUAAGGUUUCACAGACCUGGGAACCGUGGUGCAGGAAGCAUGAUUCACACAAGCCAAUAGAAUAGGGAGUGGAGGCUAAUAU